This 406-nucleotide ribosomal RNA is filed under the name uncultured bacterium. RNAcentral describes it as "partial 16S ribosomal RNA". It matches the Rfam family "Bacterial small subunit ribosomal RNA", at positions 29 to 526 of the family's 1533-position model. The record is from RNAcentral.
AUUGAACGCUGGCGGCAGGCCUAACACAUGCAAGUCGAGCGAGCGGCGGACGGGUGAGUAAUGUCGGGGAAACUGCCUGAUGGAGGGGGAUAACUACUGGAAACGGUAGCUAAUACCGCAUACAAUCAGAUGUGCCCAGAGGGGAAUAGAUAGUAGGUGGGGUACCGGCACACCUAGGCGACGAUCCCUAGCUGGUCGAAGAGGCUGGCCAGCCCCACUGGAACUGGGACACGGUCCUGACUCCUGCGGGAGGCAGCAGUGGGGCAUGUUGCACAAUUGGCGCAAGCCUGAUGCAGCCAUGCCGCGUGUGUGAAGAAGGCCUUCGGGUUGUAAAGCACUUUCAGCGGGGGGGCGUUACCCGCAGAAGAAGCACCGGCUAACUCCGUGCCAGCAGCCGCGGUAAUUC